GACGAACGCUGGCGGCGUGCUUAACACAUGCAAGUCGAACGGAAAGGCCCCUUUGGGGGUCCUCGAGUGGCGAACGGGUGAGUAACACGUGAGUAACCUGCCCUUGACUUCGGGAUAACUUCAGGAAACUGGGGCUAAUACCGGAUAGGAAUCCUUGCUGCAUGGUGGGGGUUGGAAAGCUUCGGCGGUUUUGGAUGGACUCGCGGCUUAUCAGCUUGUUGGUGGGGUAGUGGCUUACCAAGGCUUUGACGGGUAGCCGGCCUGAGAGGGCGACCGGCCACAUUGGGACUGAGAUACGGCCCAGACUCCUACGGGAGGCAGCAGUGGGGAAUAUUGCACAAUGGGCGGAAGCCUGAUGCAGCAACGCCGCGUGCGGGAUGACGGCCUUCGGGUUGUAAACCGCUUUCAGCGGGGGCGAAGCUUGUGGUGACGGUACCUGCAGAAGAAGCACCGGCUAACUACGUG
Molecule: ribosomal RNA, 465 nt
Filed under: uncultured bacterium
Lineage: Bacteria
Description: partial 16S ribosomal RNA
Rfam family: Bacterial small subunit ribosomal RNA
Source: RNAcentral